Molecule: ribosomal RNA, 427 nt
Filed under: uncultured bacterium
Lineage: Bacteria
Description: bacterial SSU rRNA
Rfam family: Bacterial small subunit ribosomal RNA
Source: RNAcentral
GGCAGCAGUGAGGAAUAUUGGUCAAUGGGCGAGAGCCUGAACCAGCCAAGUAGCGUGCAGGAUGACGGCCUAUGGGUUGUAAACUGCUUUUAUAAGGGAAUAAGUGAGUCUCGUGAGACUUUUUGCAUGUACCUUAUGAAUAAGGACCGGCUAAUUCCGUGCCAGCAGCCGCGGUAAUACGGAAGGUCCGGGCGUUAUCCGGAUUUAUUGGGUUUAAAGGGAGCGUAGGCCGGAGAUUAAGCGUGUUGUGAAAUGUAGACGCUCAACGUCUGCACUGCAGCGCGAACUGGUUUCCUUGAGUACGCACAAAGUGGGCGGAAUUCGUGGUGUAGCGGUGAAAUGCUUAGAUAUCACGAAGAACUCCGAUUGCGAAGGCAGCUCACUGGAGCGCAACUGACGCUGAAGCUCGAAAGUGCGGGUAUCGAAC